UACGUAGGGUGCGAGCGUUAAUCGGAAUUACUGGGCGUAAAGUGUGCACAGGCGGCCGCGCAAGUCGAGUGUGAAAUCCCCGAGCUUAACUUGGGAAUUGCGCUCGAAACUACGUGGCUCGAGUGUGGCAGAGGAAGGUGGAAUUCCACGUGUAGCGGUGAAAUGCGUAGAGAUGUGGAGGAACACCGAUGGCGAAGGCAGCCUUCUGGGCCAACACUGACGCUCAUGCACGAAAGCGUGGGAAGCAAACAGG
Molecule: ribosomal RNA, 253 nt
Filed under: uncultured bacterium
Lineage: Bacteria
Description: partial 16S ribosomal RNA
Rfam family: Bacterial small subunit ribosomal RNA
Source: RNAcentral